AACGAACGCUGGCGGCGCGUCUUAAGCAUGCAAGUCGAACGGCAAGAGAGGAGCUUGCUUCUCUCCUAGAGUGGCGGACUGGUGAGGAACACGUGGGUAAUCUACCCUUAAGAUGGGGAUAGCUGCUAGAAAUAGCAGGUAAUACCGAAUACACUCGGCAUAUCACAAGAGGUGUUGAGGAAAGGAAGCUACGGCUUCGCUUGAGGAUGAGCUUGCGUCCCAUUAGCUAGUUGGUGAGGUAAAGGCCCACCAAGGCGACGAUGGGUAUCCGGCCUGAGAGGGUGAACGGACACAUUGGGACUGAGAUACGGCCCAAACUCCUACGGGAGGCAGCAGCUAAGAAUAUUCCGCAAUGGACGGAAGUCUGACGGAGCGACGCCGCGUGGAUGAAGAAGGCUGAACAGUUGUAAAAUCCUUUUGUUGAUGAAGAAUAAGGGUGAGAGGGAAUGCUCAUCUGAUGACGGUAAUCGACGAAUAAGCCCCGGCUAAUUACGUG
This 496-nucleotide ribosomal RNA is filed under the name uncultured bacterium. Its description in RNAcentral is "partial 16S ribosomal RNA". It matches the Rfam family "Bacterial small subunit ribosomal RNA", at positions 29 to 507 of the family's 1533-position model. The record is from RNAcentral.